UAUUUGGAGCGUUUAGCUCCGGAGCGGACAGCUUAUCACCUGCUGAUAAGAGAAACAAGCCACGUGAAGGAAGACAGCAGAGAAGGCUGCAAGACAGUCUGUGCAACUUUUACUCGUGCUUGCUUCGGGGUUACGGAUCAUCCGUUAUUGUUUUUACAUUUCUUUACAUUUUUCUGCACUUUUCGUACUUUCCACAAUGAACGGGGAUCGCUGUGAUGAGGAAAGGAAGGAAGAAAGCAAACCCCGGGGGGCUCAGGCAGUACUGGAAUCUCUUUGCCGCCCAGAAGAAUCAGUUCAGCGGGUGCCUCCACACCUCGGGCCGUGGCCAUGUGGCUGUCCUCUUCCUGUAGACCCUCAGCUGGACCAGCGGCCACAUCCCCCUCCUCAGUGACCCCUCAGACAGGGGAGAAUCAAGGUGCCACAGGGCAGGCGGGACUUCUGCCUGGGACUGGGGUGCUGGGGGUGGGUCCUAGGGGGUCCCUCACAACUGUGACCCACCCCAGGAGCCCUGGGUGAGGCCAAAUGGAGGGGUGUGGGGGAAAGGGAAGGCACACGAGAACUGGGCCUCGGCCCCCUCUGACCGCCUCUUGUCUGCCCUUCUCCACGCUCAGCCCAAGGCAACUGUCAGGAGUUGUCACGUGCCCUCUGUGAAAUCACCUGGGAACACGGGGAGGGGACACAACCCGGUCCUGUCCUCCUGUGGCAGGCUCAGGGAGGGCAGAGAGAGGCAUGGAGACAGGGGGUAGGGGCAGCGUGGGAGGCGAUGCGGGCUCUGCAGGAGAACCGCAUGUGGCAGGGGAGGCCCUGCCAAGGUCCCUUGUGCUUGCAGGCAGUUUCCCUGAGAGGCCCUUGACCAUGGCGACUUCCUGCGACUGUGGCCACCACACUAAGACCCAGCCAUCUUCCACCUCCUGGAGUCUCUCUGGAUGGCCAACGUGAGCUGCCGGGGAAAAGUCACAGGCAAACAGGGCUCCCUGGCUGCCCAGGAGAAUGGCCAACAGGAUGGAACUAGGGCUGCUGAGGAAGGACUUUGGACAAGACCCUGUAUCCUUUUUGCAGCAUCCUAGAUGGCCAGCUGUGGGGCAAGCCGCUCGCCUGGGCAAGCUUGCUGGGCAAGCAAGCCGGGGUGGGGGCUUGUGAAGUUGGCAAUAGGCUGUAGUGCUGGAGGAGGAGGAGGAAGAAGAAGAGAUCCUGGUGAGGACACCGUCACAGAUGUGGUCUUCGAACCAGGAGGCAGGUGCUCACCAGACAUGGAAGCUGCUGGCACCUUGAUCUUGAAGCUCCAGGCUCCAGAACUGUGAGAAACUCUGCAAAAGACCUGCCUUUGGAGGUUGGACAUGGUCAGACGCUGCCAGCUGUUUGGGAGAUGUGAGCUCAGCCUCGGGGGGAGAGCAAGAGGAUGCCCGAGGGUGGGAAAGGUUCUGGAAGGAUACUUGAAGAACAUACCCUUCCACUCUGACCCUGGGAGUCACCUCACCGAGAAGGGAACGACAUUUCCAGGCCUCUGCUCCGAGACCCCUGUUACUGCGGGCUGCCUUCCAGACCACUUCGGGGACCUACUAAGGCUCGUGCCUACUCAGGAACAAGACAUCUCGGACAGUCCCAGAUGGCCACCAAGGGGCAAACCCAUUGUCCCCAGGCCCCUGCUACCCACCUCAGGCAGGCAGGGACUGGAGAGGUCAUGGCAUUGGUACCUUUCUAGGUCCUUGGGGAUGAGUGCAGAGGAGAGUCUUGUAAGAGACCAUGCUGGACUUCUAAGCAACGUGGGCCCCAAAUCCUUCUGUGUUUAAGUUGGUUUGCGUUGGGUUUCUGUCACUUGCAGCUACAGGAGUCUUCACGGGUACAGAGGCCAGCCACUUCCUGAGUUGCCAAGUGACCCAUUUAGGCUGUUCCCGCCUUAUCCGAUACCCAACCCCCCGGCUGUGGUUUCUCCUCAUUGCACAGCUCUGUCUCCCUUUCCUCCACCACUUAAACGAGUACUCAGGAAAGGACUGGCCGCUGUCAACUAUACUUUGAAAUUGCCCGUGGAAGUGAUUAUUGGAUGGGCCAGCCCCCCACCCCCACCUCCAGUCCUCCCUGGGUUGGAACUGUCACGUUCUAACUGCACCGCAGAGACGAUUGUGCUCUGUGCCCGGAACAAGAGGAGUCCUGUCUUUCCCAGGGUCGAUGCACCUGCUUGGGUCUGCUGUUAGGCUGCACGUUGUUUGCUUACAGCUUUGUUGUUGUUGUUGUCGUCGUUCUUUUUUGUUUCAAAAACAAUUUGGCGCUUCUCAAGGCUGAUGUGCAGACCCACAGAAUGUGCUCAUUUUGCCAGCUCUGUGCUUUGGGGGAAUCCUUUAGCCUGAAUAACUGGCGGCCGGCUGUGGCCAAGCCCGGGCAGAGCUGAACCCAGUGGGGGUUGGAGGCCAGCCAGGCCGUGGCCUGUCACCCACAAAUAGCUCUUCUAAAGCCCCUCCACAAAGGGUGACACAGAACAAAGACCAGGGGGCAAAGUUAAUUUAUUUGGAUUUUUUUUUUAACAACCAAAAAAUUGUUUGAAGUUACAAAAAAAAGACAACCAUUUACAUUUUAGAACUUUUACACUCUGAGAAUAAGCCACAGUGCCCAGUUUUGGUGAAUGAAAGGCUUAAAAGAUCCCAGCCUGACUGGGUGGUAGUGAUUAUCUAGGUCAUAUUCUCCAGAACGGGCCUUACUCUGUCCAUCUCAUGAAUCGCUCUGCUCUGGAACUUUCAACUCUUAACCCUUUCGAUAUCAAACUUCUUUGCCCCAGAAGGCCUCUUCCAUGUGUCCCUUUCCCUCUCGUCUGUCCUUUGUCUGCCUUUCUUUGUAACUGGCCGCACGUGCCUUCACCCUGGUGUCUCAGCGCCAACAAAACAGCCUCCACCCUCCAGGCAAUUCACAUCCCUCACCUCCUGCAAAGUUGCCUCCAGCUCCUGUCUCCCAGCAAUCACUCCUGGUCUCCCUUGCCCAGUGCCUAUG
Long non-coding RNA from Neofelis nebulosa (Clouded leopard), 2979 nucleotides. RefSeq lists it as uncharacterized. The transcript has 4 exons. The record is from RefSeq and is a predicted model, not a curated record. NCBI's taxonomy places the organism in Eukaryota, Metazoa, Chordata, Mammalia, Carnivora, Felidae.